Molecule: ribosomal RNA, 400 nt
Filed under: uncultured Synechococcus sp.
Lineage: Bacteria; Bacillati; Cyanobacteriota; Cyanophyceae; Synechococcales; Synechococcaceae
Description: bacterial SSU rRNA
Rfam family: Bacterial small subunit ribosomal RNA
Source: RNAcentral
UGGGGAAUUUUCCGCAAUGGGCGCAAGCCUGACGGAGCAACGCCGCGUGAGGGAUGAAGGCCUUUGGGCUGUAAACCUCUUUUCUCAAGGAAGAAGAUCUGACGGUACUUGAGGAAUAAGCCACGGCUAAUUCCGUGCCAGCAGCCGCGGUAAUACGGGAGUGGCAAGCGUUAUCCGGAAUUAUUGGGCGUAAAGCGUCCGCAGGCGGCCGUUUAAGUCUGUUGUUAAAUCGUGGAGCUCAACUCCAUCACGGCAAUGGAAACUGUUCGGCUUGAGUAUGGUAGGGGCAGAGGGAAUUUCCGGUGUAGCGGUGAAAUGCGUAGAUAUCGGGAAGAACACCAGUGGCAAAAGCGCUCUGCUGGGCCAUUACUGACGCUCAUGGACGAAAGCCAGGGGAGCG